UCCGUAGGUGAACCUGCGGAAGGAUCAUUAAAAAAAGAGAAACGUCCCGUUUUUUUUCAUAAGAAUGGGUUCUAUUCCCUUAAACCGUGUCUACAUACCUUUGUUGCUUUGGCAGGCCGCCUUCGGGCGUCGGCUCCGGCUGAUAGUGCCUGCCAGAGGACCCAAACUCUAUGUUUAGUGAUGUCUGAGUACUAUAUAAUAUUUAAAACUUUCAACAACGGAUCUCUUGGUUCUGGCAUCGAUGAAGAACGCAGCGAAAUGCGAUAAGUAAUGUGAAUUGCAGAAUUCAGUGAAUCAUCGAAUCUUUGAACGCACAUUGCGCCCCUUGGUAUUCCGAGGGGCAUGCCUGUUCGAGCGUCAUUAUAACCACUCAAGCCUGGCUUGGUAUUGGGGUUUUCGCGUGUUCGCGGCCCUUAAAAUCAGUGGCGGUGCCGUCUGGCUCUAAGCGUAGUAAUUUCUCUCGCUAUAGGGUUCCGGUGGUUACUUGCCAAAACCCCCCAUUUUUUCUAGGUUGACCUCGGAUCAGGUAGGGAUACCCGCUGAACUUAA
RNAcentral lists this ribosomal RNA (549 nucleotides) under Hyaloscypha variabilis. RNAcentral's name for it is "eukaryotic LSU rRNA". The stretch from base 207 to 360 matches the Rfam family "5.8S ribosomal RNA". Lineage: Eukaryota; Fungi; Ascomycota; Leotiomycetes; Helotiales; Hyaloscyphaceae. The record is from RNAcentral.